GAAAUGCGAUAAGUAGUGUGAAUUGCAGAAUUUAGCGAAUCAUCGAAUCUUUGAACGCACAUUGCGCCCCUUGGUAUUCCUUGGAGCAUGCCUGUUUGAGUAUCAUGAAAUCUUCAAAGUAAAUCUUUUGUUAACUCAAUUGGUUUCUACUUUGGUAUUGGAGGUCUUUGCAGCUUCACACCUGCUCCUCUUUGUUCAUUAGCUGGAUCUCAGUGUUAUGCUUGGUUCCACUCGGCGUGAUAAGUUAUCUAUCGCUGAGGACACUGUAAAAGGUGGCCAAGGUAAAUGCAGAUGAACCGCUUCUAAUAGUCCAUUGACUUGGACAAUACUUUUAUGAUCUGAUCUCAAAUCAGGUAGGACUACCCGCUGAACUUAAGC
RNAcentral lists this unclassified non-coding RNA (378 nucleotides) under plant metagenome. RNAcentral's name for it is "partial contains 5.8S ribosomal RNA, internal transcribed spacer 2, and large subunit ribosomal RNA". The stretch from base 1 to 105 matches the Rfam family "5.8S ribosomal RNA", at positions 50 to 154 of the family's 154-position model. The record is from RNAcentral.